Molecule: ribosomal RNA, 458 nt
Filed under: uncultured bacterium
Lineage: Bacteria
Description: bacterial SSU rRNA
Rfam family: Bacterial small subunit ribosomal RNA
Source: RNAcentral
UACGGAAGGCAGCGGUGGGGAAUAUUGCACAAUGGGCGAAAGCCUGAUGCAGCUAUGCCGCGUGUAUGAAGAAGGCCUUAGGGUUGUAAAGUACUUUCAUCGGGGAGGAAAAAACAAAACUAAUAAUUUUAUUUCUUGACGUUACCCGAAAAAGAAGCACCGGCUAACUCCGUGCCAGCAGCCGCGGUAAUACGGAGGGUGCUAGCGUUAAUCAGAAUUACUGGGCGUAAAGAGCACGUAGGUGGUUUUUUUAAGUCAGAUGUGAAAUCCCUGGGCUUAACCUAGGAACUGCAUUUUGAAACUGAAAUACUAGAGUAUCGUAGAGGGAGGUAGAAUUCUAGGUGUAGCGGUGAAAUGCGUAGAUAUCUGGAGGAAUACCUGUGGCGAAAGCGGCCUCCUAAACGAAUACUGACACUGAGGGUGCGAAAGCGUGGGGAGCAAACAGGGAUUUAGAUACC